GAACCAUUGGUGUAGUGGUAGCAUAUCACCCUUCCAAGGUGGCGGCUCGGGUUCGAACCCCGGAUGGUUCA
This is a transfer RNA of Catenaria anguillulae PL171, 71 nucleotides long. It matches the Rfam family "tRNA". From Rfam's summary of the family: Transfer RNA (tRNA) molecules are approximately 80 nucleotides in length. Their secondary structure includes four short double-helical elements and three loops (D, anti-codon, and T loops). Further hydrogen bonds mediate the characteristic L-shaped molecular structure. tRNAs have two regions of fundamental functional importance: the anti-codon, which is responsible for specific mRNA codon recognition, and the 3' end, to which the tRNAs corresponding amino acid is attached (by aminoacyl-tRNA synthetases). tRNAs cope with the degeneracy of the genetic code in two manners: having more than one tRNA (with a specific anti-codon) for a particular amino acid; and 'wobble' base-pairing, i.e. permitting non-standard base-pairing at the 3rd anti-codon position. The record is from Rfam. Lineage: Eukaryota; Fungi; Blastocladiomycota; Blastocladiomycetes; Blastocladiales; Catenariaceae.